UCAGGAUGAACGCUGGCGGCGUGCUUAACACAUGCAAGUCGAACGAUGACCCGGUGCUUGCACCGGUGAUUAGUGGCGAACGGGUGAGUAACACGUGAGUAACCUGCCCUUAACUCUGGGAUAAGCCUGGGAAACUGGGUCUAAUACCGGAUAUGACUCCUCAUCGCAUGGUGGGGGGUGGAAAGCUUUAUUGUGGUUUUGGAUGGACUCGCGGCCUAUCAGCUUGUUGGUGAGGUAAUGGCUCACCAAGGCGACGACGGGUAGCCGGCCUGAGAGGGUGACCGGCCACACUGGGACUGAGACACGGCCCAGACUCCUACGGGAGGCAGCAGUGGGGAAUAUUGCACAAUGGGCGAAAGCCUGAUGCAGCGGCGCCGCGUGAGGGAUGACGGCCUUCGGGUUGUAAACCUCUUUCAGUAGGGAAGAAGCGAAAGUGACGGUACCUGCAGAAGAAGCGCCGGCUAACUACGUGCCAGCAGCCGCGGUAAUACGUAGGGCGCAAGCGUUAUCCGGAAUUAUUGGGCGUAAAGAGCUCGUAGGCGGUUUGUCGCGUCUGCCGUGAAAGUCCGGGGCUCAACUCCGGAUCUGCGGUGGGUACGGGCAGACUAGAGUGAUGUAGGGGAGACUGGAAUUCCUGGUGUAGCGGUGAA
Molecule: ribosomal RNA, 650 nt
Filed under: uncultured bacterium
Lineage: Bacteria
Description: bacterial SSU rRNA
Rfam family: Bacterial small subunit ribosomal RNA
Source: RNAcentral